ACAGCUCCUUCUCCUCAAAUUUAUGGAAUCAUAAGAAGAAGAAAUUCUCUUUAUGAAAGGAUUUUUAUCUACCAUUACAGAAAUAAACAACAUUUCCCAUUUUUCUACUGGAUUCUUCAAGCCUAUGUAGCAGAUCUCAGAGACAAGUUGACUAAAUUGAAACUGGCCAGUCAGGAAUCAGCCCUAAUCCUGAUAGCUCACCUGCAAUGAAAGGAUCAUAAUUUCUGAGAAGAAUCGUGAGAUUGAUUGGUUUGUCAGCCUUCUGGAUUGAAUCAGGAGACCAGCCAAAACAGCUUCCUAGCUAAUCUAAAGAGUGGAAGAAAGCAAGGACUGAAAACAUGGCUUCACCAGCAGAUCCCAUCCUGAUACAGAACCCAUCAAGUGAUGCCUGAAUGUUGUCACCAAGGAAGUAGGAACAUAGUGAAUUUUGUAUUUGGACUUUUAAUUUGUAAGCCAAUCACCAUGAGUGAGGUGGGCAACAAUAUAAAUUUCAUAAAUAAAUAAAUAAGUGCUCUGUACUGAA
This is a long non-coding RNA of Pantherophis guttatus, 523 nucleotides long. RefSeq lists it as uncharacterized. Lineage: Eukaryota; Metazoa; Chordata; Lepidosauria; Squamata; Colubridae. The record is from RefSeq and is a predicted model, not a curated record.